This 1487-nucleotide long non-coding RNA is filed under the name Olea europaea subsp. europaea. The record is from RNAcentral. Lineage: Eukaryota; Viridiplantae; Streptophyta; Magnoliopsida; Lamiales; Oleaceae.
UAGACGUAGAAAGAAAAAUGGUAUAAACCAAAAAUAAAAGCACAAAGUACGUUAAAAAUUCAACCCAUGAAGAAUUCACAGAAACAAAUCCAUUGAAAUCCAAGAUUGAUCAUCAUCUAAAGAACAAGACCCACAAAUAUCCUUCAAUAUUCACGCAAAUGUACCAAAAAGAACUUAAUCAUAACGAUCACAGCAAGAAAAAAAAACUGUUGAAAUAAGCAUACAAAAAAUAAAAAGAAUACCCACCAACUUACUAGUUAUACUUAUUCGAUCCAAACACAAAAAGCACAAAUUCUUUAGAUGCACCGAAAAUGCUUGUAGAAUUCACUUAAAUAAAUCUAACAAACAGAAAAUUGAACCCAUGGUAAUCAAGAUUCAAGACAAUGCACCAAAAAUGUAAAAAUUAAAGAAACAAAGAGAACAUGAUACACUUAGAAGUUAGAACACAAUUGCUGAAGUAAGCAUACAUAAAACGAAAAGUGAACCCAAAACUAAUCAAUAUUCAAAUCAAAUACAAAUUUCAUGUAAGAUUCAGCCAAUAUAAAAUUCAAAGAACAAAACAAAUACAGUAUAAUCCAAGAUUGAUUAUCAGUCCAAAAGGGUAAAUACUUCAAGACCCAUCCAUAUGCACCAAAAAAGAUCUCAAUUAUAAAGACAAAGGAAUUACAUAAACAACAGAGAACAUUAUCACUCUAGGUAUACAAUUGCUGAAAUAGCCAUACAUUGAACGAAAAGAAACACCAAACACAACCAUUAAAGAUCCAGCUGAAACUCACAUAGAUUUCACAGAAAUAAUCAUAGCGAAACCCAAAAUUGACCAUGAAUUCAACCCAGAAAAUUUCUUAUAAGAUGCAUUCUAAUGAACCAACAAAGAACAAUAUUUAAUGGAAACAAAAGAUAACACAAUUGCUGAAUCCCAUAACUUAGAGAUUCAAUGAAAAGCAUCAGAAAAUUCACAAAAACAGAAUCCAUUGGAACCCGAUUUAUCAUCAUGUAUAUAAAGAAAUUAUAGAAAUAAUUGUGAAAAUGUGACUUACCUGUUUUUUUUGUUAACUAUCUUAUUAUUAACUUACUUCUCGGUUGAUCUGGAACAGCACUUGAAUUCAUCGUCAAAAAUCCUCUUCCAAUUCUUCUUGAUGGAAAAAUACAUACACUAAAAACACUCGGAAAAUGGACAAAAAAACUCUAGUGUUUAAAAUUGAUCUUCAGUUGGACCAGAGAAGGAAAACGCCGAAUUUUAGCUAUCCUUCAAGAUUCAUUCUAUGCAGGAAUAAGAACAUUCAUCUUAUAUUAGUAAAGAAAUUAUUGUAUUUGUCUUUAAACUCGCCUGUUUUAUUUGUUGUAGUACUUGAAUCCGUCUUCAGAAAUACUUUUGUAGUUCUUCAUGAUAGAGAACCCCUAAACUCAUCGCUCAAAACGCUAAUAGAAAACCCCAAAGACUCGCCUCUAGUUGAGGGACGUGGGGGUUAUAUAAAAGUAAUGCAUAA